CAUGCAAGUCGAACGUGAAAUUUAUUUUGCGUGGCGAACGGGUGAGUAACACGUAUUUAAUUUACCUCUAUGUGGGGAAUAACCGAUAGAAAUGUUGGAUAAUACCGCAUAUGUUUUUUUAACACAUGUUAAAAAAAUGAAAGGAUCGUUUUGGUCCGCAUAGAAAUAAGAAUGCGGCGUAUUAGUUAGUUGGUGAGGUAAUGGCUCACCAAGACAAUGAUGCGUAGCUGGUCUGAGAGGACGCACGGCCACAUUGGGACUGAGAUACGGCCCAAACUUCUACGGAAGGCAGCAGUAGGGAAUAUUCCACAAUGGACGAAAGUCUGAUGGAGCGACAUCGCGUGAUCGAUGAAGGCCUAAGGGUUGUAAAGAUCUUUUGUAAAUCAGGAAAAUUUAUUUUGAAAAGAAAUGAACUUGACAUUAGUUUACGAAUAAGUCACGGCUAACUACGUGCCAGCAGUCGCGGUAAUACGUAGGUGGCAAGCGUUAUCCGGAAUUAUUGGGUGUAAAGCGUGUGCAGAUGGUUUAAUAAGUUUAAGGUUAAAGGCAAGUGCUCAACACUUGUUUGCCUUAAAAACUGUUUUACUAGAGUAUAGGAGAGGUUACGGGAAUUCCAUGUGUAACGGUGGAAUGUGUAGAUAUAUGGAGGAACACCAUUAGCGAAGGCGCGUAACUGGAAUAUCACUGACAUUCAGACACGAAAGCGUAGGGGGCAAAUAGGAUUAGAUACCCUAGUAGUCUACGCUGUAAACGAUGGACGUUAAACGUUGGAAUUAAUUCAGCGUUAUAGUUAACACAUUAAACGUCCCACCUGGGUAGUACGUUCGCAAGAAUAAAACUCAAAGGAAUUGACG
RNAcentral lists this ribosomal RNA (854 nucleotides) under uncultured bacterium. RNAcentral's name for it is "bacterial SSU rRNA". It matches the Rfam family "Bacterial small subunit ribosomal RNA", at positions 54 to 915 of the family's 1533-position model. The record is from RNAcentral.